This 1621-nucleotide long non-coding RNA is filed under the name Monodelphis domestica (gray short-tailed opossum). Its description in RNAcentral is "lncRNA (ENSMODG00000049831.1)". Lineage: Eukaryota; Metazoa; Chordata; Mammalia; Didelphimorphia; Didelphidae. The record is from RNAcentral.
AGCCACAUCUGAGUUAUAGCCAAGGAGGUUCCUUCUUGCUUUAAAGUGCAACGAGGCCACGGUCAGUGGUCAUCGCCACAAGGCCAGGAGAAGCCCUCGGAGCAACACUGAGUGGAGGGCAGGUUGACAUCCGAGGCCACUUGGGGUCCAAAAGUCACUUUAAAGGGGGGAGGCGGAGGAGGGGAACAAGGAACGAGGAGGCAAUUCUAAUAACCCGAAGCCUGUCUACAAAGGGUCCCCAAGUGAGAGCGGACUGAAAACUCCGUGUGACAUGGCUGCCAAACAAAGGCACUUGCACUCCCUGCGCUCAGUUCUGGGCAUCCGUUGGAGGUCAGUGAAAAUUCGAGGAUGAAGCAGAGCAGAGGGAGCUGGGGCUGUCUAGCCUGGCGAAGAGAACGCUCCAAGAAUUUGACAUGGAGAAGAGGGAUUAGUCACGUUCUACUUGUUUCCCAUGGGCAGAGCCGGGAACAGGCUAAAGCAGCAGAGAGGCAGAUUGGGGCUUGCCUGGAGACGAGUUCUGAACACUCCAAGCUAGCCAGAGUCGGGAUGUUCUCCUGGUUCUGCUCCUCUCACUCUGCAUCAGUUCCUGGAGGUCGUCCCAGUUCCCGGCAGGUUUCCUAAGGACUUGGAGCGCCUGAAAUUUCCUGACGGGAUGUCUGGCCACCUGCAGGGCAGCCAAGAGAUGGCUGGACAGAAGCUGGGGGGCCUUGGACCUGAGCGUCAUCCUUCCUCUACAAAGUGGGGGACAAUAGGACGGUUGGCUCUGAGCCUGGCAGAGGGCCCAGUGGCAUCAGUUAUGCCCAGAGAUGCCAAGGCCAUGAGCCCCUGAAGCUGCCCCAACAGAUACCCCUUGCCCACUGCCAUCCACUGAGCCAGACUGAGGCCCCCAGAAGACCUGGUGAGCUGGGGAGCCCCAUGUGGGCAUGCUAACAGGCCAGGCUGCCAGAGGCCGGAGGUGCCACGGGGAAGCAUGGGCCAAGGCCUUGCUCUCUGGCCUCCUGCCCUACUGGGGGCCUGAAUUCUUUAGGCCUUUCCCAGCUCUAAAGACACCCUGGUGGUGAUGCCCCAAGCCUGCCCCACUCUGUCAGGCUGCCAGGGCCUGGUCACUCUUGUUGGUUGGUCAGCAGGAAAUGGGCAGGCCCCAGGUCGCUGUCUACACCCUCCAGGAGAAGAGCAGCUAAGGACCCGGGCCUCCAGCUGUGGAGCUGAGAUGCUGAGAGGGGAAAGAUAGAGAGCCGACCAAGGCUGACUCAGAGGCUCUGGGUUCAAGUACUGCUUUGUCAUUUUCUCCCAGUGCCUCGGUCUCAUCCCCUGGGGGGUGGCCUGGACACCUCUUCAGCACCUGAGCCCAAACCUCAGAGGCCUCCACAGAGGCCAGGGUGUCCCCACUUGUCUUCCAAUGAUCAUCUCUCAGUUCCUCUUUGCAGUGAUUCCCCAAGUGUUUCCUUCCUGUGGGGCCAAUCCCCUUUCGGCAGCUGAUAUUUUGACUUUGGUCGGGCAGCUGCAGGGACAGUACAUAGAGUGCAAGAGUUGGAGGCAAGCAGCCCUGAGUUCAGAUCCUGCCUCAGACAUUUAGUAGCUGUGUAGUAGACCCUGGACCAGUCACUCCUCCUAUUUCCUC